UACGAAGGGGGCUAGCGUUGCUCGGAAUCACUGGGCGUAAAGGGUGCGUAGGCGGGUCUUUAAGUCAGGGGUGAAAUCCCGGGGCUCAACCUCGGAACUGCCUUUGAUACUGGAGAUCUUGAGUCCGGAAGAGGUAAGUGGAACUGCGAGUGUAGAGGUGAAAUUCGUAGAUAUUCGCAAGAACACCAGUGGCGAAGGCGGCUUACUGGUCCGGAACUGACGCUGAGGUGCGAAAGCGUGGGGAGCAAACAGG
This 253-nucleotide ribosomal RNA is filed under the name uncultured bacterium. Its description in RNAcentral is "partial 16S ribosomal RNA". It matches the Rfam family "Bacterial small subunit ribosomal RNA", at positions 524 to 776 of the family's 1533-position model. The record is from RNAcentral.